This 498-nucleotide ribosomal RNA is filed under the name uncultured bacterium. RNAcentral describes it as "partial 16S ribosomal RNA". It matches the Rfam family "Bacterial small subunit ribosomal RNA", at positions 30 to 523 of the family's 1533-position model. The record is from RNAcentral.
AUUGAACGCUGGCGGCAUGCCUUACACAUGCAAGUCGAACGGUAACAGGUCUUCGGAUGCUGACGAGUGGCGAACGGGUGAGUAAUACAUCGGAACGUGCCUAGUAGUGGGGGAUAACUACUCGAAAGAGUGGCUAAUACCGCAUGAGAUCUACGGAUGAAAGCAGGGGAUCGCAAGACCUUGUGCUACUAGAGCGGCAGAUGGCAGAUUAGGUAGUUGGUGGGAUAAAAGCUUACCAAGCCGACGAUCUGUAGCUGGUCUGAGAGGACGAUCAGCCACAGUGGGACUGAGAAACGGCCCAGACUCCUACGGGAGGCAGCAGUGGGGAAUUUUGGACAAUGGGCGCAAGCCUGAUCCAGCAAUGCCGCGUGCAGGAUGAAGGCCUUCGGGUUGUAAACUGCUUUUGUACGGAACGAAAAGCCCCGGGUUAAUACCCUGGGGUCAUGACGGUACUGUAAGAAUAAGCACCGGCUAACUACGUGCCAGCCGCCGCCGUAA